Molecule: long non-coding RNA, 1191 nt
Organism: Amborella trichopoda
Lineage: Eukaryota; Viridiplantae; Streptophyta; Magnoliopsida; Amborellales; Amborellaceae
Source: RefSeq, a predicted model, not a curated record
UGAAGUGAGAGAUCAACAAAAAAAAAAUUUAAAUUGCGUAUUUUUUCUACUUGAAAAAUUAAUAUCAUGAAAGCCAGAAUAUGAUGAAGAGUUCAAAUUCCAAUUUUUUCAUUUUGAAAAAUAAUCAUACGGUGAUCUUUAUAUGGAUCUCGUAUCACAUAAAAAAGCCCUCCCAAUCAGUUCUUUUGCCCUAGGAUUUAAUAUACAAUACGCUCCUGUGGGAGCAUACUGUAAAUAAAUCUGUUGUCACGUCGAUCGAGAUGCUUGUAUUACUUUUUCGUUACCUGGCCAUUACGCAAAUUCACGUCCAUUAAAUAACGUCCAUUAAAAGCUUAUUUUCAUAGCUUUUCUGCACCAACUUUGAAGCUUUUUUGAACUUUAGGGUUUUGGCCAUUUCUUUCCCGCUAUUUUUCCAUUUCUUUCCCGCUAUUUUUGAAUUUUACUUUUCGUGCUUUAGGGAUCGCCAUUGUUGUAGUUCCAUUGUCUUUGAAGCUUCUUGGAGUUUUUUGGGAUCUCCAUUGUUGGCCUUUUUGUACUUUAGGCUUAUUCAAGCUCUGCAGUGGGAAGAAGCAGUUCAGAAGUCAAAUUUGUUGAGUAAAAAUGGAAGAAGUGCAUGGAGAUGCCUUUGCUGCAAGAGGAUGAGAUUUGAUGGCCCUGACGGAGAGGAUUUUCCUUACAUUUAAUCAAUGUCAAAAUCUUUCUUCCUUGCUGGAUUCGCAUGUGGCAUUGUCACGCGAAGGAUAGAACAGAAUUGCGACUGACGCCAGCUGCAACAAUCGAUAUGUUGCUGACGAUAGCAUAUGCGCACAAUCCAUCUACAAGCGUGGCUACGAAAUUUGUCCAUUCCUCUACUAAUAAGAAUCGGUGUUCAAUUAAUCGAGUUCUGUGACAGUAUUAUGGGCAAUAAAUAGCAGAUUUUGAGUCAUCGUUGACUGAGAGAAAUUGAACAUUUGAGAUUGCAUUCAAGAAAUAUAUCCAAGUGUAUGUUGAAAACUUCCAUCAUCUGAUUAGGAGGUAAGAGGGGUUGGACCCCGUACAUUUAUGUGAUCUAUUUCAAAGUAUUCUUUGGUUUUAUUUGAAAUGGAAAGAAAUGUAAUUGAUUGUUAGUCAUCGAACAACUUGCAAUGAGUUAUCAUUGGAUGUUGAAAUGCAAUUAGACAUCAAUAACUAAAACAUUGAUAUGAAUUUAUC